CGUAAGCCUAACUGAGGGGUGCAGCUCAUGCCUGGAGACCUCCUUCCCUUGCAUGGCCCCAUGGAAGCCAAAGCCAACGGGAGGGAUCAGGAGAGCCUGAGGAGCCACCACAGAAGUCACUGCACUGGAGGAAGCCUCUGUCCAGAUAGCCAAGGACAGGGACAGUCAUUCCUCGUGACCGUGCUGAGAAUACCCUUUUCAGUGCAAAUUAGAAGACCCAAGUCUCCUUCUCCUACACAGAGGAGUCAUCAGCAAGGCCCUGACCCCAGGAAUCAUCAGCCAACUCUCUUUGGAUCGGCCAACCCACUGCCUGGGAUUCACUUGGUUUCCACAAAGAACAUUGAUGAUCGAAUCAGGAAAGUCCCACAAGGAUUAGAGGAGGACUUGAUCCAUCAGGAGUCUGCACUUUCUCUCCCUUCUGGAGGGCUCAGUAGCCUCCCCUUCUAAGUGCUGUGAUUCUCCCCGCCACUGCAGUCCAUGGCAGGGACCCUCAACUGAUACCUGGAGCCUCACCUCUCAACAUCAGGUUCUCCUCUGAGAUCCCCCACAAGCGGUUCUGGUCUCUCUAAUGCUCCUAUCUGCUGCCGAGCCAAGUUCAGCCUUCUGAAGACAGAUAAGCCUUGCAGAGUGAGACGGGGCUAAGAUAUAAAUUUGGCCAAGGCAUGGUUCAUGGGAAGACAUCUCUUUUUAUUUUGCCUGCAUAAAAUAAUGAGCAUUUUAAAAACUGCUCUAAUUUCCUUGAAAAAUAAUCGAGUGUGGGGUGGUAUCAGCAGAGGGACUAAUAAGAACAAUAAAGCAUAUUUUGUGGACCAAGGCAAAGGAAUAAAAACCAGAGAGUCGUGAUGGAAGCCGGGAGAUGCAGGCAGCAGUCACUGCACACUGAAGGCAAUGAACAUAUGGAAUAAAUGAAGAGACACGGCAAAUGUAGCAAAAAAUUAAUUCAAGCCCUUGACUUAUUCCAAGGGAGGGAAGGCAUGUCGACAGAUGGUAAAACAUCAGGAAUGUGGGAUUAAGAUAAAUUUUGAGAGGACAGGUGUGCAGGACAGAGUGGCCUUUUCCGAUUCUGCAAUGCAACCCUUCCUUAAUAUGUCACUACUGGCUGGAGCUCAAGGCAGCGUCCCCAUUAGGUGCCCACUGCAAUCUGCCCUGCAAGUGUGUGGUAUGUCGCCUCUCUGCUGUGGAGCUGAAUUGUAAUCUGUUCCGAGAAAGAUAUAGGGCUCUUCCUACUCUCUCCAGCAGGGCUGCUCAAGGGCCUAAAUUCUCAGGACUGGGACUCCUCUUUUAAAAAGAUCUCUUACUAGCAUAGCUGGG
This 1311-nucleotide long non-coding RNA is filed under the name Cavia porcellus (domestic guinea pig). RNAcentral describes it as "lncRNA (ENSCPOG00000030483.1)". The record is from RNAcentral. Lineage: Eukaryota; Metazoa; Chordata; Mammalia; Rodentia; Caviidae.